GACCUUAGUUGCCAGCAUUCAGUUGGGCACUCUAAGGUGACUGCCGGCUAAAAGUCGGAGGAAGGUGGGGAUGACGUCAAAUCAUCAUGCCCCUUAUGACCUGGGCUACACACGUGCUACGAAUGGGCGGUACAAAGGGUCGCGAACCCGCGAGGGGGAGCCAAUCCCAAAAAGCCGCUCUCAGUUCGGAUUGCAGGCUGCAACUCGCCUGCAUGAAGCCGGAAUCGCUAGUAAUCGCGGAUCAGCAUGCCGCGGUGAAUACCGGUUCCCGGGCCUU
Molecule: ribosomal RNA, 277 nt
Filed under: uncultured Anoxybacillus sp.
Lineage: Bacteria; Bacillati; Bacillota; Bacilli; Caryophanales; Anoxybacillaceae
Description: partial 16S ribosomal RNA
Rfam family: Bacterial small subunit ribosomal RNA
Source: RNAcentral